Molecule: ribosomal RNA, 449 nt
Filed under: uncultured bacterium
Lineage: Bacteria
Description: bacterial SSU rRNA
Rfam family: Bacterial small subunit ribosomal RNA
Source: RNAcentral
CCCAGACUCCUACGGGAGGCAGCAGUGAGGGAUAUUGGGCAAUGGGGGGAACCCUGAUGCAGCGACGCCGCGUGGGUGAAGGAGUGCUUCGGCAUGUAAAGCCCUAUCGGCAGGGAAGAAGCAAGACGGUACCUGACUAAGAAGCCCCGGCUAACUACGUGCCAGCAGCCGCGGUAAUACGUAGGGGGCGAGCGUUAUCCGGAUUCACUGGGUGUAAAGGGGGCGCAGACGGCGAUGCAAGCCAGGAGUGAAAGGCCGGGGCCCAACCCCGGGACUGCUCUUGGAACUGCGUGGCUGGAGUGCAGGAGGGGCAGGCGGAAUUCCUGGUGUAGCGGUGAAAUGCGUAGAUAUCAGGAGGAACACCGGUGGCGAAGGCGACUUUCUGGACUGUACCUGACGCUGAGGCGCGAAAGCGUGGGUAGCGAACGGGAUUAGAUACCCCAGUAAUU